This is a long non-coding RNA of Diceros bicornis minor, 399 nucleotides long. RefSeq lists it as uncharacterized. Lineage: Eukaryota; Metazoa; Chordata; Mammalia; Perissodactyla; Rhinocerotidae. The record is from RefSeq and is a predicted model, not a curated record. The transcript has 3 exons.
CCUCCCAGAGUGCCCCACCAGUGACAGAAGUGACCCAUCCGAGGUCAUAAGUCAUUCUACUUUUGGAAACCUGUCCCAAGGAGACGCUCUCUCAUAUGAACAUUUCAGUUGCAGAGAUGAGUGUUUCUAGUAACAAAAAUUUGCAACAACUUUAAGAGCCAAUGAUGGGAGAUGGCUGCAUGGAUGAUGGCAUGCUCACAGGGAUUCUGUGUGUUUUAAGGUGUGUUUUACACCCCGGGAGGAUGGAAGUGCUGCCAGCCUGGAGGAGUGGGCCCUGGAGAGGGACUUCUCAGGUGGAUUUUGGUGCAGGUGGGGCUGGGGACCUCUGCCAGGGCUGCCUGCUCACCCAGAUCCCAGAGGGCCAGCUGGAGAUGCAGGUCUUCAGGCCUUGGUCAAGAU